This 474-nucleotide ribosomal RNA is filed under the name uncultured bacterium. Its description in RNAcentral is "bacterial SSU rRNA". It matches the Rfam family "Bacterial small subunit ribosomal RNA", at positions 364 to 828 of the family's 1533-position model. The record is from RNAcentral.
UUUCGCAAUGCCCGAAAGGGUGACGAAGCGACGCCGCGUGCGGGAAGAAGGCCUUCGGGUUGUAAACCGCUGUCGGGAGUUAAGAAGUGCAAGGGUGUUAAUAGCAUCCUUGCUUGACUAAGGCUCCGGAGGAAGCCACGGCUAACUCUGUGCCAGCAGCCGCGGUAAUACAGAGGCGGCAAGCGUUGUUCGGAAUUAUUGGGCGUAAAGAGCACGUAGGCGGCUAUGCAAGUCGGUUGUGAAAGCCUUCCGCUCAACGGAAGAACGGCAUCCGAUACUGCAUGGCUCGAGUGCGGGAGGGGAGAGUGGAACUUCUGGCGGAGCGGUGAAAUGCGUAGAUAUCAGAAGGAACACCGGCGGCGAAAGCGACUCUCUAGCCCGUAACUGACGCUGAGUGUGCGAAAGCUAGGGGAGCAAACGGGAUUAGAUACCCCGGUAGUCCUAGCCGUAAACGAUGGGCACUAAGUAGAGGGG